Molecule: small nuclear RNA, 107 nt
Filed under: Procavia capensis (Cape rock hyrax)
Lineage: Eukaryota; Metazoa; Chordata; Mammalia; Hyracoidea; Procaviidae
Source: RNAcentral
AGUGCCUUCUAAUCAUAUUAGUCCAUAAAACUGGAUAGAUACAGAGAGGGUUAGCAUGGCACCUAGGCAAAGAUGACAUGCAAAUUCGUGAAGCAUUUCAUAUUUUU